GUAAUGUCUGGGAAACUGCCUGAUGGAGGGGGAUAACUGCUGGAAACGGUAGCUAAUACCGCAUAACGUCGCAAGACCAAAGAGGGGGACCUUCGGGCCUCUUGCCAUCGGAUGUGCCCAGAUGGGAUUAGCUAGUAGGUGGGGUAACGGCUCACCUAGGCGACGAUCCCUAGCUGGUCUGAGAGGAUGACCAGCCACACUGGAACUGAGACACGGUCCAG
Molecule: ribosomal RNA, 221 nt
Filed under: uncultured bacterium
Lineage: Bacteria
Description: partial 16S ribosomal RNA
Rfam family: Bacterial small subunit ribosomal RNA
Source: RNAcentral